This is a non-coding RNA of Pseudonaja textilis, 127 nucleotides long. The record is from RefSeq and is a predicted model, not a curated record. NCBI's taxonomy places the organism in Eukaryota, Metazoa, Chordata, Lepidosauria, Squamata, Elapidae.
AGAUGUUGGGGGUCAUGUGGUACAGGGGUGCCCAACCCCCAGUCCGUGGACCAGCACUGGUCUAUAGUAUGCCAGAAACUGCGCUGUGCAAACAAGCAAAGCCCCGUCGAUGGGAUGCAGGCAGUAC